AUCCAGCUGACGAGUCCCAAAUAGGACGAAACGCGCGUCCCAU
Schistosoma rodhaini is the source of this 43-nucleotide non-coding RNA. The record is from Rfam. Lineage: Eukaryota; Metazoa; Platyhelminthes; Trematoda; Strigeidida; Schistosomatidae.